GGCGGCGUGCCUAACACAUGCAAGUCGAACGAGAAAGCUUGGGUGUAGCAAUACAUCNGGGUGAGUAAAGCGGCGAACGGGUGAGUAACACGUAGCUAACCUGCCCUUCAGUGGGGGAUAACCUGGGGAAACUCGGGCUAAUACCGCAGAUACAAUCCGAUUUCAAAAGGAGUUGGAUUGAAAGGCCCGCAAGGGUCGCUGAGGGAGGGGGCUGCGGCCGAUUAGCUCUUGUUGGCGGGGUAAUGGCCCACCAAAGCAAUGAUCGGUAGCCGGCCUGAGAGGGCGCACGGCCACACUGGCACUGAAACACGGGCCAGACUCCUACGGGAGGCAGCAGUGGGGAAUUUUGCACAAUGCCCGAAAGGGUGAUGCAGCAACGCCGCGUGAGGGAUGAAGGCCUUCGGGUCGUAAACCUCUUUCGAUCGGGAAAAAUGGGCGGGUGAAUAAUCCGUUCUGAUGGUACCGGAAGAAGAAGCCCCGGCUAACUACGUGCCAGCAGCCGCGGUAAUAC
RNAcentral lists this ribosomal RNA (511 nucleotides) under uncultured Acidobacteriota bacterium. Its description in RNAcentral is "bacterial SSU rRNA". It matches the Rfam family "Bacterial small subunit ribosomal RNA", at positions 38 to 526 of the family's 1533-position model. Lineage: Bacteria; Pseudomonadati; Acidobacteriota. The record is from RNAcentral.